CAGCCGCCGCGGUAAAACCAGUACCUCAAGUGGUCAGGAUGAUUAUUGGGCCUAAAGCAUCCGUAGCCGGCUCUGUAAGUUUUCGGUUAAAUCUGUACGUUUAACGUACAGGCUGCCGGGAAUACUGCAAAGCUAGGGAGUGGGAGAAGUAGACGGUACUCGGUAGGAAGUGGUAAAAUGCUUUGAUCUAUCGAUGACCACCUGUGGCGAAGGCGGUCUACUAGAACACGUCCGACGGUGAGGGAUGAAAGCUGGGGGAGCAAACCGGAUUAGAUACCCGGGUAGUCCCAGCUGUAAACUAUGCAAACUCAGUGAUGCAUUGGCUUGUGGCCAAUACAGUGCUGCAGGGAAGCCGUUAAGUUUGCCGCCUGGGAAGUACGUACGCAAGUAUGAAACUUAAAGGAAUUGGCGGGGGAGCAC
RNAcentral lists this ribosomal RNA (420 nucleotides) under uncultured Nitrososphaerota archaeon. Its description in RNAcentral is "bacterial SSU rRNA". It matches the Rfam family "Archaeal small subunit ribosomal RNA", at positions 459 to 879 of the family's 1478-position model. Lineage: Archaea; Thermoproteati; Nitrososphaerota. The record is from RNAcentral.